Molecule: unclassified non-coding RNA, 263 nt
Filed under: plant metagenome
Description: partial contains small subunit ribosomal RNA, internal transcribed spacer 1, and 5.8S ribosomal RNA
Source: RNAcentral
UUUCCGUAGGUGAGCCCGCGGAAGGAUCAUUAUUGUAUAACCGAGGUGCGAGGGCUGUCGCUGACCCGAAAGGUCGUGCACGCCCGAGUGCCCUCACACACAUCCAUCUCACCCCUAUGUGCACCACCGCGUGGGUCCCCCUUUGGCUUGUUCGGAGGGGGGCUUACGUUUUCACACAAACUUUGUAUGCAGUGUAGAAUGUAUUUUUUGUUUUUGCGAUCACGCAAUCAAUACAACUUUCAACAACGGAUCUCUUGGCUCUC